Bombina bombina (fire-bellied toad) is the source of this 266-nucleotide long non-coding RNA. RefSeq lists it as uncharacterized. The transcript has 3 exons. NCBI's taxonomy places the organism in Eukaryota, Metazoa, Chordata, Amphibia, Anura, Bombinatoridae. The record is from RefSeq and is a predicted model, not a curated record.
CACCCCUCUCCAAGAGCCAUGUGACUCAAACAGAGAGAACCAUCCAACCAGGACUCCAGUCACGUUGACAAAGGAUGACAGCGACAGUUCCUCAGAUGAGUCUGAUAAUUUUGAGGUGAUGUCCAUUCCGCAAAAGGAGCCCAGUAAGAACAGCCUUACGUAUACCACAAUUCAAUUCAAUGUUAAAUCACAGUGUGGCGAUUAUGUGAAUCUUCAUGAAAACUCUGAUUAUGUCAAUGUAGACCCAAAAGAAAAGAGAAAUCAAU